UCUUCAACAUGUAUUUUUGCUGUCUGCCUGGAAUGAAAGAAAAUGUUUGCCGGUGAAAUCAAUGUUUAAAUCCAAUAUUUCCAAAUAAUGUGCCCGACCACUGCCCUGCCAUAGCUAGCGUUAACUUAGUUCAGCAGAGAGUAGCGGGUCGGCACACUGAAAAUAUUGGAUUUACACGUUGGUGUAGCCCCGGAUAAACAUUUUAUCAUUCCUGACAGACAGUAGACAUCUGUAAGGUGAGGAAAAUACCAUAAAGGAUGUAACCCGCUCUUCAAUAACAGAAUCUCUGGAGGUCUGCUACUCUUUUGGGAUUUAUUUAACCGUCAAAACAGGUCUUUCUGACAGUGACUCAGCACUUCACUUCAUAGACGACCUAACCACAGUAAUGCUUCCCUCUGGUGGUAAUAAGCAAAACUCACUGCAAGUGAGUAGAUGAUGUGAGCUACACUACAUCUGCAGGUUAUGGCUGAGAAAAGUGUCAGACCCGCCAGAAUGUACAGUUUCAGUUCUUUGUUUUCUGUUAGGAAAAGAAGAAGUAAAAACAGACAAAGCAAAUGUUUAAUCACAGACUAAAACACAGUUUUGAAGUAGAUGCAGAGCAGGCAUAAGACCACACUUCUGCACAAUUUAAAAAUAUGUCCCUUUAGUAAAACUCAAUCUUGUCCUUUCAUAUUAAGAUAAAUGUGACUUGAUAUUAGUGCAUUGUUCCCGAGGAUGCUCCCAAUAUUUAACUUUUAAUUUACUCUACUGUUAAUUCCCAUUUUCACUCCAGUCAAACAAAUCACACAGAUUUGGUCAGGUUUUCAAACAAGUAGCAGAUUAGAUCAUUUUGAUCCCAAUACCACACUGUCUGAUAUGGCAACUAUAAAUUGGCGUCUACCUCGCCAUCGGCUGGACAACCAAUGUUAAAACACAUUGUUGUGCCAAAUCAGCCAUAAAUACAGUAUCCCUCUGACCUAACAGACUGGUUCCUUACUUUAUUUUUAAUUACUCAAUAUAUUCUACACUCAUCAAAACUCAGAAGGCUGUAUAAACAAAAAAUGUGUAUUUGAAUCAUAUGCAUUAAAGUAUGAAAAUGUCAGGUAUUAAUUAAAACGUGUACCAAAAAAAAUAUGAGAUUAAAAUAGGCACAAAUCUAUCUUUAUAAAUAGAUAAAUAAUAUUUAAGUGUGCAUACACUUUAACAACAGGCUAAAACAGGAACAGGUCAGAGUUAACGUUAUAUUCUAUGCUUUGAAUAAUUAAUUACAAGUUGUGCCUUAACUGAAUCUAUAAUCACUUUGGAUGAUUCGAAGGCCUUUCGGAGAAACUUAAUGAUGGUCUUCAGGUAAUGUGUAUAGAGCACAAGGGUCUGGAAACAAACUUUUACCUGUUGAGCCCAUGUACAAGACAAGAAGAAAUCAAUUCACUCGCACCCAAUGGAAUCGGUACUGUAAGUGAGAAAAUGGCUGUAAUUUGGCUGAACUGACACUUGAAAAUUCACUUGAGGCAGAUCCUUCUCACACACUGUUCUUUCAUUGUAAAACUUAGGCUGGCAGUAAUUGUGUCAUCUUCUUUUACUUACGCAGCAAUACCGCAGUGUAGAAAUACUCUGUUACAAGUUAAAGUCCUGCAUUCAAACCUUUACUUAAGUAAAAGUACAAAAGUAUUAGGAUCCAAAAUAUUCUUCAAGAAUUAUAAAUAUUGAUGCAUUUUACUUUAAUGUUGCAGCUGGUAAAGGUGGGGCUUAUAGCUUGUGAAUUUAUAAAGUCUUAUCCAUAUCCAUAAUAAUACAUCAUAAUCAUCAUCAUAAAUAAUGUUUAUUAUUUAUUUUGUAUUAUUAAUUUGAAUCUGCAAGGAAAGUAGUAACUAAAGCUGUCAAAUAAAUGCAGUUGAGUAAAAAAUACAAUAUUUGCCUCUGAAAUGUGGUGGAGUAGUAGAAAGUAGCAUAAAAUGGAAAUACUCUUACUUUCCACCACUGGUCAUCUUUGACAGACUACAGAGCAACCGUAUAAAACUUAAGCAGUUUGCAGGAUGUGGAGUUGUACGUUUAUGGGCCGUCUUAUCCCAGUGGGAGUGCAGAACUUUGAAGUUUACUGAUCAUAUUUAUUCCAGAGAAAGAGAAGAACAAUACUUAGGGAUGUGACUGAUGUGGAAAGAGAGUUCAGGAAGGUUUCGUAAGACAUAUCAUAUGAAAUCACUUACUGCUAACCCACACUGUGACUGGUUUGUUAGGGAAACCCAGGUGUUGGUAAUUAGAUUGUUAGGUAAUUACUGUAGUACGCUCAAGAAAAACCACUGGGAUGUGACCUUUCCCUGUCUCUCAUUACUUUUACUAUCUCAGCAAAACAUAGAUUUUUUUUUCUGUAGCAUUCACCUUGUACAACAGACAUUAAUAAAGGGAAACCUUAAUUUAAAAAUCAUAGAUAGUCAGAGUCAGAUAGUCAUUGGCUACAGUCUCUUUCAGUAUGUGACUGCCUCUGACUUUAAGGUUGCAGAGAACUGCACAGUCGUACUUCUAAAAAAGUGUCUGUCUGCUCAGGUAGGUGGCCUGUCUGGCCCAGUUGCUGAUGGCUGUGUUUGAUGGCAAGUGGCUGCAGUUAUUCUGAGCUCCAUACAGAGUGACAGACAGACCCUGGAGAAAGAAACACAGACAGACAGGCAGAUGGUAGAAGCAGCAGUUUGGGUAUAGGUGCAGAUUCCCCUUAGACUGUCUGGGUCACUGCAGACACAGAGUGGUCACAAAGGUGACUCUCUCCUCCUUGCUUUGUGUCCAGUCUCCUCUGUCCUCUUUAAAAUAGAGAGGAGGAGGAAAAUGACAGAAAAGUGUCAGACUUGCUAUCAAAGAUGAGAAAUGCCCUUGAGUAAGCAACACAAAACAAAACAUCAGAGAAUCUAAUAGUUACAAUUGAUGUGAAACCCUCUGACACCAAACAAUCUGUGCAACUGCAGUGCACAAAAAACAAUAAAUAUUAUAGGAAUGAAAAAAUAAAUAAAAUGUUGUCCUGCGUAUUUUUAAUUUUCAAUAGUAAAAAGUGCCUUUAUAUUUGUAAUACUAUCACAUUCAAGUAACAUGAAUCAACGCUCUUAAUUUAAAAGGUAUACAGACUGAACGUUUAUAAGAACAAAAAAAAUGUUUUUUAAAUGGUGAUUCACCAGUGCAAAAAUGCCAAACGAGUGUUCACCAACCUGAUAAGACAAAGUUAAAUUAAGAACCAGAACCUCUACUCUCCUACAAACCCAGAGAUUUCCCAUUUACAGUAUAUUCAGAAUUUUAGUAAAACUUUUAUAACAUCAAAACCUACAAGGUGUGUGAUACAUUUUUAUAAGAAAAAAACAAUUACAGCUUUAAAUGAAAGCAAAGCAUUUUAUUAGAUGCAAUAUUCAAUAUUGAAAUACAAAAGGCACUGAAUUCUGUUCUCCCAAAACAAUGCAUACAGAGAUGUGUGAAUGAAUACAAAUCUUGUAUUACAUAAUGGAUGUAAGAUCGAACCUUAAAUUAGACCACUAUCUGUUGCAAGAACAUCACACAAAUGAUCUGGAGUUUGCAAUUGUUCUUUAAGAAUGCUAACAUAGGGUACAUCUACGCUAAUGUUUUAAAACAGUACAUCAAAUAAACACACAUAUGCAUGUUUUUCAAUAUAAGAAAUCACAUAGAAAAUAUACAUCAGUACACAAAUAAUUUAGAGCUUGGUGGUAGAGAGGUACAGGGAGUAGAGAGGUACAGGGAGGAGAAUUAAAUGAAAAUGCAGUACCUUAGCUGCAUACUGGUGAUGUUGAGACACUGGUUCUCUUUAAAGUAAGGUAAGUGUUAUGGAAAGUUUGCACUGCUCUAGUAGAAAUUACAAAUCAGAUACACAUCAGUGAAAUCGGGGGUUCAUGCCAUGCUUCUCCUGUCAAAACUCAUUCUGUGAAUUCUGAGAUCUCUGAUUAUUCCUAAAGAUUCACACUGGCUGAAUACUUACAUUUCUACACUGUUAAGCUUAGUGAAAAAUAAGCCGUUCCUCUUCCUGCAUUUACUGUUAGUAGUGAAAUCAACAGAAUAGGCUCAGCCCAUUACAGCAAACUGUAUGAAUUGGUGUAAAUCUACUUCAAGAUCUUUCAUUAUUUUCCAUUUUGAUAGUCAGUAUUGCUUUGGUUUCCUUACAAACAACUUUUGAGAAAGGCAGUGAUCAAAGAUGCAGUUGAAGCUGCUUCAUAAACAAUUUUAAUAAUGACAGUGAAAGUGAAAUCAAAUUAUAUUCUCUCUGUAUUCUAAAUUAAAGUAAGACUUAAAUUAGUUUGAAAUGAAUUGAAGCAAAACACUUUGAUUUCCUCUGUGGAUGUGAUCUUUAUGCAGAAACCAUCAUGUGAUACCAAAUACCAAAAUAUACAGUAUUUCCACCGCUUUUCUGACACCACACUGGUUUUUCAGAAAGAUCUUACCAAAAUUUUGGUUCCAGACAAAAGUCAAAGGCACACGUUUUAAAAACAUAGCAUUACAAUCUGAAAGUGAUGGGGGGGUGUCAGUCUGAGAAUUGAGAACUGAGUGUUUUUCCUUAUUGAAUAAUUGAAACAGAUUUAAAUGAUUAGUUACAGUAACAGUAAUAUCCAAAAAUCUAAAGCCAGACAGAUUACAAUUAACUACAUGAUUUAUUACAGUUACUUUUCUUAUUAGACUGAAAUGUUCGGCACACAAAAGACAUGGUUUGCCAAAAUAAGUUCAACAACAAAGACGAAAUGCUUUUGAAAAAAAUGCCAAUCAAUGACAAACAACUGCUUCAUGUCAUUUAUAUUACAGGAUCAGGUUCCACCAUUGGUGUGGAGAAACAAACGUGUACUGCACCCACAUGAAUACAUGUGAUCAGCAUGCCAGUACACACAUGCACACACACACACACACACACACACACACACACAUGCACGCACAC
Siniperca chuatsi (mandarin fish) is the source of this 4888-nucleotide long non-coding RNA. RefSeq lists it as uncharacterized. The record is from RefSeq and is a predicted model, not a curated record. NCBI's taxonomy places the organism in Eukaryota, Metazoa, Chordata, Actinopteri, Centrarchiformes, Sinipercidae. The transcript is spliced from 3 exons.